This 594-nucleotide ribosomal RNA is filed under the name Escherichia coli. RNAcentral's name for it is "partial 23S ribosomal RNA". It matches the Rfam family "Bacterial large subunit ribosomal RNA", at positions 12 to 643 of the family's 2925-position model. The record is from RNAcentral. Lineage: Bacteria; Pseudomonadati; Pseudomonadota; Gammaproteobacteria; Enterobacterales; Enterobacteriaceae.
UAAGCGUACACGGUGGAUGCCCUGGCAGUCAGAGGCGAUGAAGGACGUGCUAAUCUGCGAUAAGCGUCGGUAAGGUGAUAUGAACCGUUAUAACCGGCGAUUUCCGAAUGGGGAAACCCAGUGUGUUUCGACACACUAUCAUUAACUGAAUCCAUAGGUUAAUGAGGCGAACCGGGGGAACUGAAACAUCUAAGUACCCCGAGGAAAAGAAAUCAACCGAGAUUCCCCCAGUAGCGGCGAGCGAACGGGGAGCAGCCCAGAGCCUGAAUCAGUGUGUGUGUUAGUGGAAGCGUCUGGAAAGGCGCGCGAUACAGGGUGACAGCCCCGUACACAAAAAUGCACAUGCUGUGAGCUCGAUGAGUAGGGCGGGACACGUGGUAUCCUGUCUGAAUAUGGGGGGACCAUCCUCCAAGGCUAAAUACUCCUGACUGACCGAUAGUGAACCAGUACCGUGAGGGAAAGGCGAAAAGAACCCCGGCGAGGGGAGUGAAAAAGAACCUGAAACCGUGUACGUACAAGCAGUGGGAGCACAGAGCAAUCUGUGUGACUGCGUACCUUUUGUAUAAUGGGUCAGCGACUUAUAUUCUGUAGCAA